GGGGAAUUUUGGACAAUGGGCGCAAGCCUGAUCCAGCCAUGCCGCGUGUCCGAAGAAGGCCUUCGGGUUGUAAAGGACUUUUGUCAGGGAAGAAAAGGCUGUUGCUAAUAUCAGCGGCUGAUGACGGUACCUGAAGAAUAAGCACCGGCUAACUACGUGCCAGCAGCCGCGGUAAUACGUAGGGUGCGAGCGUUAAUCGGAAUUACUGGGCGUAAAGCGGGCGCAGACGGUUACUUAAGCAGGAUGUGAAAUCCCCGGGCUCAACCCGGGAACUGCGUUCUGAACUGGGUGACUCGAGUGUGUCAGAGGGAGGUAGAAUUCCACGUGUAGCAGUGAAAUGCGUAGAGAUGUGGAGGAAUACCGAUGGCGAAGGCAGCCUCCUGGGACAACACUGACGUUCAUGCCCGAAAGCGUGGGUAGCAAACAGGAUUAGAUACCCUGGUAGUCCACGCCCUAAACGAUGUCAAUUAGCUGUUGGGCAACCUGAUUGCUUGGUAGCGUAGCUAACGCGUGAAAUUGACCGCCUGGGGAGUACGGUCGCAAGAUUA
RNAcentral lists this ribosomal RNA (548 nucleotides) under uncultured bacterium. RNAcentral describes it as "bacterial SSU rRNA". It matches the Rfam family "Bacterial small subunit ribosomal RNA", at positions 356 to 896 of the family's 1533-position model. The record is from RNAcentral.